ACUCUAAAGAGACUGCCGGUGUCAAACCGAGGAAGGUGGGGAUGACGUCAAGUCCUCAUGGCCUUUAUGACCAGGGCUACACACGUACUACAAUGGCAGGUACAAAGGGCAGCCACUUAGCGAUAAGGAGCGAAUCCCGUAAAACCUGUCUCAGUCCGGAUUGGAGUCUGCAACUCGACUCCAUGAAGUUGGAAUCGCUAGUAAUCGCAGAUCAGCACGCUGCGGUGAAUACGUUCCCGGGCCUU
This 245-nucleotide ribosomal RNA is filed under the name uncultured Desulfocapsa sp. RNAcentral's name for it is "partial 16S ribosomal RNA". It matches the Rfam family "Bacterial small subunit ribosomal RNA", at positions 1137 to 1382 of the family's 1533-position model. Lineage: Bacteria; Pseudomonadati; Thermodesulfobacteriota; Desulfobulbia; Desulfobulbales; Desulfocapsaceae. The record is from RNAcentral.